Molecule: unclassified non-coding RNA, 340 nt
Filed under: Hevea brasiliensis (rubber tree)
Lineage: Eukaryota; Viridiplantae; Streptophyta; Magnoliopsida; Malpighiales; Euphorbiaceae
Source: RNAcentral
AUUGUUCACAUAGAAAUAACUCAAGACUCUUCCAAAAAUCCUCUUCCAGGAAGCAGCAACAUAAAGGCAGUGAGCAAAAGCAUAUUAACUGGCUGAUAAAAACUCAUACACUACUAUUUAACAUAUAAACAACCAGGUAUUGCAGGUGCAUGGUCUCUGAAAUUAAUAUUUUAUGAUAGAACUAAGCAUUACCUUUUCCCUCUUUAAUCAAUUUCUAAUGGAAUUGUUUAAAAAAAAAUAGAAAUAACAUUCUUACCACCAUCAUGGCUCGAAUACUUUUAAAGGUGUUGAAAAAAAUUAAAUGAGAACAACAUUUCAUUCAAUGAUGGCUAGUUUUCUG